GUCGCUCUUGGGUCUGCAGGCCUGUCUUCAGUUGCACGUGGCCAUCAAGGAGGAAAGUCCUGUUGUGGCACAUGAAGGACUGCACAAGGGGACAUGCCUCCGGGCUGAUGGGGGAGAAGCAGCCUUCCCUUGAGACAGAUCUAGAUCUGUUAAGUGCUUUGACGAAGAUCAAGGAUGGUGCAGACUGGCGUCUUUGGGCCAAACUCUUCAUUUUUUGCUUCUUGCUGUCGGCGGCGGCGAACACUCUGCUCUCGCCGCUCACCGAGGAUGAGCGGCCGGGCCCGAGGUGCUCCUGUUGCGGGGACAUCACGUCCAUGCGGCCCCGCGCCGCCGAUCUCCCGCCGCGGCGACACCCCAACCGCCGCCGCUGCCACCGCCGCCGCCGCCGCCGCCGCCCGCACCAUGGACAGGGCGCGCCGCGAUGGCAC
This 428-nucleotide long non-coding RNA is filed under the name Gallus gallus (chicken). The record is from RNAcentral. Lineage: Eukaryota; Metazoa; Chordata; Aves; Galliformes; Phasianidae.